Molecule: long non-coding RNA, 2993 nt
Filed under: Fragaria vesca (wild strawberry)
Lineage: Eukaryota; Viridiplantae; Streptophyta; Magnoliopsida; Rosales; Rosaceae
Description: long non-coding RNA (FVES_LNC001675)
Source: RNAcentral
UAAGCUAUCAUACCCUAUAACAUAAAAGUGAAAUGAAACGAACUAUCGGACGACAUAAGUGCACAUAAGUGUCUCAUCAUACGACAUAUAUAUGUCGUUGGUUUUCCACAUAUAGUCUAAUAAUUUUCCAAACUUAACAUCAGACGACAUUAUAUUGUCAUUAGAACCUCAUCUAACCACAACAGUUGAAUGUAUUUGUCGUUGAAGGUUUUGUGGUUCGACGAUUAUAUGCAGUGUAAAGUUGUAUCACACCACAUCUAUUUCGAAAAAACCUUAAUUUUUCUUGUUUCAGUCGACAUAUAUAUGUUUUAUGUCUUUAACUCAGACGACAUAAGUUCGCAAACCCUCUACACUUGUCAAAUUUAAAACGACAUAUGUUCUGUCGUCUGACCAACAUUCACAUGGCAGUGGAAAACUGUUGUCUGAUAGCCUAUCAGACGGCAAGCCCUCAGACGACAUAUAAUUUUUGGUCAGACAACAGUGCUCAACUGUCGUCUGAUGCUGUUUUUGGCAUAGUGUAUGAAUAACUAAACAACUUUUAGCUAUUUACCUAAGAGCGAGGCUCUGGGUUUUGUAUUUGUAUUUAUGUUGGAAUAAAUAAAUUCUAUUUUAUGCUUUACAAUCCGUCAUAGAAAUAUUUAGUUAAUAGUGGCAUAAUUAUAUAUAUAUAUAUAUAUANNNNNNNNNNNNNNNNNNNNUUUUGUUUGAAGUUUUGGGUGAUCUCGCCGGAAAACUGGAAUUCGGCGGACUCGCCGGAGAUGGAAAGAGGUCGGGGAAGCUACUGGAGUCCGCUGGGGUGGAGGCGCGCCCUCGCCGGUGCUCGUCGGUCCCGUAUGGUGGCGAAAGGAGGGACAUCCGCACCUGAUAACGUCUAUAUAUAUAUAUAUGCUCUUGUGUUACUUUGUGUUUAAGAAUACUUUGCUUUUUGAUUUAAGAAUUUUCAUACUAAGACAGCAGUGAUUCCGUCAUAAUUUGUAACCAUUUAAACAGGAGGUUGUUAGGUGAAAGGUUAGCAUGUUGAAGGCUAGUUCUUAGGUUGGAGAAUUUUAGUUUCAUAAAAGUAAGAUAAGAUAAAAAAAAUAAAAAUAAAAAAUAAAACUUAACAGAAUAGUUACUAAAAAGUACCGGAGGUAUCCCUUUGAUAGCAAAUUAGGAGUAUAAGUACUACAUUAACUACUUUGAAAGUUUAGGUAUCACAUUGACUUGACACAAGAGUUGGGGGAUUAUCAGUGAACGUUUUUCUUAAUUUUAUACAUAUAGUUCAGAGGAUAUUUUAAUGCAAUGUUUAUUGUUGGUUGGUGACUGUAGACGAGUCUUUUAGGAUGCAUCAUCACAUCUGUAGUAGAUUCCACUAUGGCCGUCUGUCUCACUCUCCAAUCUCCAUGCUUCACAUGGGAAGCCAGGGGAUGGGAUUCAUAUCUUUAACAGCCAAUACCAUUGUCCCCCUUCCAAGUCCCAACAACCAAGCAAUGUAUCAUCUUUCUUUUCUCAAUUACACAAGACAUCAUCAAUUAUUAAUGUCUUAUUUUCCUGUUCAUAAUGCACAUAGUUUUCUAAACAAUAGAAUUUUAUACGAGUCUUUUAGGAUGCAUUGACAUUUGAAACGUACCCAGAGGUGUUUUGCUUUAAUCAUUAUUGCCCUUUAAAAUAUAAAUAUAUAUAUAGCCGUUCGAGAGCGGACGUCCGCAUUCGGUUUAAAGUGCGGAGUGCAGACGUCCCUCCGUUCUCCACUGUUCGGCGCCGGUGAGGGUACGCCUCCACCCCAACGGACUCCAGCAGCGUCUCCGACCAUUUUCUCUCCCCGGCGAGUCCGCCGAAUUCCAGUUUUCCGGCGAGAUCGAUGUUGUUUGAAAUUUUGGGUGAUCUCGCCGGAAACUAGGAAUUCGGCGGACUCGCCGGGGAGAGAAAGUGGUCGGGGACAUUGCUGGAGUCCGCUGGGGUGGAGGCGCGCCCUCGCCGACGCCGUACGGUGGCGAACGGAGGGACAUCUGCACUUUAAGGCCGGUGUGGACGUGCGUCUCUGAUCCGGCCUGUAUAUAUAUAUAUAUAUAUAAGUGCAAGCUGGUGUGAUAAGAUACUUCAAUAUCAAAAUCAUUAGCAACAUUAUUUAUUAGUGUCUUGUUUAUGUUUGAUGUUUUAUAUUUAUGAAUUUGGGAUUGCAACUUUUCAUUUUGAGAUGGUGCAUAUUUGCCGUGUUAAAUGAUACUUUGGUACACAAUUAACGAGCUAGCCGUAAUGAGUUAUGCUAGCUUUGAUGGAGUUAUAAUGUUUCAUAAUAUUUUAAAAAGUUUUAUUAUACGUUUGUUUUAACUAAGAAAAAUUAGCUUACAGUAAAAUAGAGUUGAAUUGAUACCUUUUUUUUUUUAAAGAAAAAAAAUGUACAACAAUAGCUCGUAAACUAUGACCUCAUACUCAUAGGCUCAUACUUAACAGUAGUAAGCACAAUUCGACCGAGGAAUCAGACUUUGAACUUGAUCUGGUAUGUUGACUGCUGACCGAUCUACAAGACAAAAUGCUAUAAUAUCGUGUUCUAUCAUCUGCCGUUGCAAAAUAGCCAAUUUGGUCUAAUUUACUCUCGACCUUCUAGAUAACUAGACUGCAUUUUCUUCUUUAGUCAAAGUCUUCUUCCUACGUUAACAAACAAAAUGGCAACUUUGUUGACGAACAAAAGAAACAGGGGCAAAAAAGGGAAUUGACAAAUGAGUGAAAGGAAUUGGCGGGCUUGCAACGAAGAAACAAACACACAAAAGUAAAAAAGGCCGAAUGAGAGCUAUCAAUCGAGAAAAAGAAAACCGAGUGUAUCAUUCAAUUAACAUGGUGUUCGGCUGCGUCUUGACGACGUCCUGGGAAUUGUCUGCUCUGCUCUCUUUCCUCGAUUCCUCUUCUUCUUUUUCUUUUGUUGAAAAGGGGUGUGUGGUUUUAUUACGAAUUAAUUCAUGGAAAACUAGGCAGAGUUUUAACGAAACUUGUAUAAAAAAUAACGGACACCGGAU